GACGAACGCUGGCGGCGUGCCUAAUACAUGCAAGUCGAGCGAAGUUUUUCUGGUGCUUGCACCAGAAAAACUUAGCGGCGAACGGGUGAGUAACACGUAAAGAACCUGCCUCAUAGACUGGGACAACUAUUGGAAACGAUAGCUAAUACCGGAUAACAGUAUUUCUCGCAUGAGAGAUAUUUAAAAGUUGGUUAUGCUAACACUAUGAGAUGGCUUUGCGGUGCAUUAGCUAGUUGGUGGGGUAAAGGCCCACCAAGGCGACGAUGCAUAGCCGACCUGAGAGGGUGAUCGGCCACACUGGGACUGAGACACGGCCCAGACUCCUACGGGAGGCAGCAGUAGGGAAUCUUCCGCAAUGGGCGAAAGCCUGACGGAGCAACGCCGCGUGAGUGAAGAAGGAUUUCGGUUCGUAAAGCUCUGUUGUUAGGGAAGAAUGGAUAUGUAGUAACUAUACAUGUAAGAGACGGUACCUAACCAGAAAGCCACGGCUAACUACGUG
This 499-nucleotide ribosomal RNA is filed under the name uncultured bacterium. RNAcentral describes it as "partial 16S ribosomal RNA". It matches the Rfam family "Bacterial small subunit ribosomal RNA", at positions 28 to 507 of the family's 1533-position model. The record is from RNAcentral.